Molecule: non-coding RNA, 1057 nt
Organism: Xyrichtys novacula (pearly razorfish)
Lineage: Eukaryota; Metazoa; Chordata; Actinopteri; Labriformes; Labridae
Source: the annotation of a GenBank genome assembly
ACACAUGCGGCCUGAGUGUCCAUGUGGCUCAGAGGAUAAGGAGACGGACUGACACUCCUGAGGUCGUGGGUUCAAGCCUUACCUUACCCACAUCUAGUUGAAUUUUUAAGUCCUUUACCCAAAGUAAGAUGAUAAAAGCGGGCAUUCCACAUGCCCUAGUGUGGAUGCCUUAUAAACUCACAGUGAAAUUUAAAGUCUAGUGUCUAGAAAAAAAGGGUGAAAUAGGAAAAACCCGAAACUCCCCUGUGUGUCCAUGUAGCUCAGAGGUUAAGGAGACGGACUGGGACUCCUGAGGUUGUGGGUUCAAGCCUUGCCUUAUACACUCGCAGUGAAAUUUAAAGUCUAGUGUCUAGAAAGGAGAGUGAAAUAGGACAAACCCCGAAAUCCCCUGUGUGUCUACAUAGCUCAGAGGAUAGAGAGACUGACUGGGACUCCUGAGGUUGUGGGUUCAAGCCUUGCCUUAUACACUCGCAGUGAAAUUUAAAGUCUAGUGUCUAAAAUGGAGACUGAAAUAGGACAAACCCGGAAUUGCCCUGUGUGUCCACAUAGCUCAGAGGAUAAGGAGACGGACUGUGACUCUUGAGGUUGUGGGUUCAAGCCUCACCUUACCCACAUCUAGUUGAAUUUUUAAGUCCUUUAGCCAAAGUAAGAUGAUAAAAGCGGGCAUUCCGCAUGCCCUAGUGUGGAUCCUAUCUAAUGGCACUGCAUGGAAGUCUAUUGGCACCCAAUGGGGCCUGGUUUGAUACCAACUCGUGGCUGGAGAGUAUUAGUAACGAUCAGAAUUAGCCAUCAUUAGAAGUGAACCAUCACUUCUUCAGGAGUCUAUACCGAUUACGGUAUAGAAGGAAAUUUUCAUCAUUUCAUUACUUUUAACUACCCCGUCACUAGCUGGAAUCGAACCGGGGUCCACACAUUGAGAGUCAAUUGACUAACACACAUGCUACAAGAUACGAUCCACACUUGGGUAGGAGUCGCGCGUCCUUUUAUUUUGGUACUUUGGCUCCUGGACUUUAAACCUCAACCUAUGUUUGAUCCUGAUCCUGAUCCAGGUCUAGGU